CCAGCAGCCGCGGUAAUUCCAGCUCCAAUAGCGUAUAUUUAAGUUGUUGCAGUUAAAAAGCUCGUAGUUGGAUUUCGGGUGGGAUGGUGCGGUCCGUCUCUGAUGUGUACUGUUCCGUCUCACCUUCCUGCCGGGGACGGGCUCCUGGGCUUCACUGUCUGGGACUCGGAGUCGGCGAGGUUACUUUGAGUAAAUUAGAGUGUUCAAAGCAGGCCUACGCUCUGAAUACAUUAGCAUGGAAUAACACGAUAGGACUCUGGCUUAUCUGUUGGUCUGUGAGACUGGAGUAAUGAUUAAGAGGGGUAGUCGGGGGCAUUCGUAUUCCGUUGUCAGAGGUGAAAUUCUUGGAUUUACGGAAGACGAACAUCUGCGAAAGCAUUUGCCAAGGAUACUUUCAUUGAUCAAGAACGAAAGU
Molecule: ribosomal RNA, 415 nt
Filed under: uncultured eukaryote
Lineage: Eukaryota
Description: SSU rRNA
Rfam family: Eukaryotic small subunit ribosomal RNA
Source: RNAcentral